RNAcentral lists this ribosomal RNA (700 nucleotides) under uncultured bacterium. RNAcentral describes it as "bacterial SSU rRNA". It matches the Rfam family "Bacterial small subunit ribosomal RNA", at positions 65 to 762 of the family's 1533-position model. The record is from RNAcentral.
AACGGUAACAGGCCUUCGGGCGCUGACGAGUGGCGGACGGGUGAGUAACGCGUAGGAAUCUGCCUGUUAGUGGGGGACAACGUGGGGAAACUCACGCUAAUACCGCAUACGCCCUACGGGGGAAAGCGGGGGCUCUUCGGACCUCGCGCUAACAGAUGAGCCUGCGUGGGAUUAGCUAGUUGGUAGGGUAAAGGCCUACCAAGGCGACGAUCCCUAGCUGGUCUGAGAGGACGAUCAGCCACACUGGGACUGAGACACGGCCCAGACUCCUACGGGAGGCAGCAGUGGGGAAUAUUGGACAAUGGGGGAAACCCUGAUCCAGCCAUGCCGCGUGUGUGAAGAAGGCCCUAGGGUUGUAAAGCACUUUAAGCGGGGAGGAAAGGGUGAUGGCUAAUAUCCAUUAUCAUUGACGCUACCUGCAGAAUAAGCACCGGCUAACUUCGUGCCAGCAGCCGCGGUAAUACGAAGGGUGCAAGCGUUAAUCGGAAUUACUGGGCGUAAAGCGCGCGUAGGCGGUUUGGUAAGUGUGAUGUGAAAUCCCCGGGCUCAACCUGGGAACUGCAUCACAUACUGUCAGGCUAGAGUACGGUAGAGGGGGGUAGAAUUCCACGUGUAGCGGUGAAAUGCGUAGAGAUGUGGAGGAAUACCAGUGGCGAAGGCGGCCCCCUGGAUCGAUACUGACGCUGAGGUGCGAAAGCGU